Long non-coding RNA from Clupea harengus (Atlantic herring), 482 nucleotides. NCBI's taxonomy places the organism in Eukaryota, Metazoa, Chordata, Actinopteri, Clupeiformes, Clupeidae. The record is from Ensembl.
CCAUCCUGCUCUACUGUUGUGUGUGUUCUUGUCAGUACACAGCCUAGUGUCUGGUUGCUCUACUGUUGUGUGUGUUCUUGUCAGUACACAGCUUAGUGUCUGGUUGCUCUUCAUAUGAAACACACACAUAGGAUCUUUCUCAUGCUUCUAGACACCUGCUGCUCAUUUGAGUGUGUGUGUAGCUGUGUUUUUAUGGGUUUGUUUAAAUUGAUUCAUGACUUCUGGAGGUGUUGGGCAGACAGUGGAGAGAUGGAGGUGUUGGGCAGACAGUGGAGAGAUGGAGGUGUUGGGCAGACAGUGGAGAGAUGGAGGUGUUGGGCAGACAGUGGAGAGAUGGACGUGUUGACAGACAGUGGAGAGAUGGACGUGUUGACAGACAGUGGAGCCAGGACAAAGAGACAUGGGGAAGCAGAUUUAGUUUCUAUGCCCCCAGCCUUUGGAACACUCUGCCAGAAUACCUAAGAAUGGCUGAAACGGUUGAA